Parelaphostrongylus tenuis is the source of this 72-nucleotide non-coding RNA. Lineage: Eukaryota; Metazoa; Nematoda; Chromadorea; Rhabditida; Metastrongylidae. The record is from the annotation of a GenBank genome assembly.
GUGUCGGUGUGCAAUUGGUUAACACGUGCCCACGGAACGGGUGGAGUGCGGGUUCGAUUCCCGUCUGAUGCU